Molecule: non-coding RNA, 90 nt
Filed under: Pseudomonas sp. OV226
Lineage: Bacteria; Pseudomonadati; Pseudomonadota; Gammaproteobacteria; Pseudomonadales; Pseudomonadaceae
Source: RNAcentral
UGUGGGAGCGGGCUUGCCCGCGAUAGCUUUCGACCAUUCAAUAUGUAUGUUGGCGGUCAGAUUGCUAUCGCGGGCAAGCCCGCUCCUACA